This 324-nucleotide unclassified non-coding RNA is filed under the name uncultured fungus. RNAcentral describes it as "partial contains 5.8S ribosomal RNA and internal transcribed spacer 2". The stretch from base 1 to 133 matches the Rfam family "5.8S ribosomal RNA", at positions 22 to 154 of the family's 154-position model. The record is from RNAcentral. Lineage: Eukaryota; Fungi.
UGGUUCUGGCAUCGAUGAAGAACGCAGCGAAAUGCGAUAAGUAAUGCGAAUUGCAGAAUUCCGUGAGUCAUCGAAUCUUUGAACGCACAUUGCGCCCUUUGGUAUUCCGAAGGGCAUGCCUGUUCGAGCGUCAUUAUCAACCCUCAAGCUAUGCUUGUUGUUGGAUUGGAGAGGGUUUUUCCCCUCCGUCCCAAAGACAAUGACGGCGUUUUAGGGACCCUCGGUACAAUGAGCUUUCACGAGCACGUACCGCAGUCGACCCUCGAACCCGGUCUUCUCUAUAUUUUCUAGGUUGACCUCGGAUCAGGUAGGAUUACCCGCUGA